AAUAGUCGGUACCAACGAGUCGGCCAACAAAUAAGAUGAAGGAUCACACUGCCAAUAUGGCCGCUAUUUUUACACACGUGUCAGAGUAAUAUAUCAUCUCCAGCGAACGGAGGCACUCUCUUUAGCUGCAGAAAUAUUUAUUUUAUAAAAUAUGCCCUUUUACGGUGAUUCUAUAGCCGAAUAUGUUGUACACACCCCCAAAGAAGUAGGUUGUAGAAGGAGUGAAUGUUGCUGUAUAGCUUAUUUUGUUAAGUACUGCAAGUCUGUGUUGCAAUUGAAGUGAGAUUGAAAGAACUUUAUUGAAGUACAAUAGGUCGCACUCGUCUCCUAGCCCGAACAGGGCCCCUCCCACGUUGGCACUGAAAGGUCUUGCAUUUCAGCCACUUCACGGGCCUGUUGGACUCAUCAUUGUCUCUCUAAUGAAGGACUUCGUAACGCUGCAUCCCGUCAUCCUUCAGCAUUUUCCUUCUCGCUGCGUAAAGCAGAUCGACGCCAAGGCAUACGAGCGAGAACUAUGGUUACGUGGCAUUUAUUGCAUGAUGUAGGAACAGAGACCUCUGGAUGAAUUCUUCUAAUUACCAGCAGCUGAAGGAAUGAAUCGUGUGAUUGGAAUGGACCUGCUGAUGGCUGUUGUUGUGAUAGGUGUUCUUAUAAAGGCACCAACUUAUGCCCUCGCUGGUGCAAGAGGUGUAGGGGGAACCGAGGGCAUCGGUGGUGUUGGCAAGAAGUGAAUUAACAAGUGUGCCACCGCUCGCAGUUCUGCUGGCUUCACGCUAUAGAAAGUGUAUUCGAAAUGAUUAAACGAAUUUCAGAAGUGUU
Molecule: long non-coding RNA, 819 nt
Organism: Rhipicephalus microplus (southern cattle tick)
Lineage: Eukaryota; Metazoa; Arthropoda; Arachnida; Ixodida; Ixodidae
Source: RefSeq, a predicted model, not a curated record